Molecule: long non-coding RNA, 1086 nt
Filed under: Capra hircus (goat)
Lineage: Eukaryota; Metazoa; Chordata; Mammalia; Artiodactyla; Bovidae
Description: lncRNA (ENSCHIG00010030173.1)
Source: RNAcentral
AAUCUCAAAGCAGUAAAAAAAACAACUCAUUACCCAAGAGCAGAACCAGGCACCAACACAGGCACCACUGGCAUUUGGCACUGGACUUGCUGUAUAAGAUUAUACCACGUAUUGCUGGAGGUUUAUCACACUGACUUCCACCUACUAAAUGCUAGUAGCCACUAUCAGUUACCAUGACAACAAAAAUGUAUCAACACGUUUCAAGUAUUCUCAGGAAUUGAGCAGGGCCUAUGCUGGUUGAAAAUCAAAUUGAUUCUACCUAGAAAAUACUUAUUUUAAAAAACAAACAAACAAACAGAAUAAGAAAGAGAACUGAACCAUAUUUGAGAGCUAAACUUCAAGUGUUGGAGCAAAUCAUGUGUCUUUGCAAAGAGUGAAGGAGUUUCCCACAGCUCACAGGCCUCUGAAGCCUCAGGAAGAAAUUCAGGNNNNNNNNNNNNNNAGUGUUUCUUUUCUUUCCUGGGACCUCAGAGUACAACCUGGAGCUCUCCACCCAGAGAAAAGGCUAAGAAACAGCUUUUGGGGAAAUGUUCCCAUUGAAUGAUUUCCCCAGGUAAAAACAAGAAAACUUCCAAACCAUCUAAGAAAGACAGUACAGUUUUAGAAGGACUAGGUUUCUUCAUGUAUUAUUGGGCAUCAAGAAAGGGGUUAUUGAGGGGAAAAAUGUUCCACUUCACAGUCAAUCAGGGCAGAAAGAGAUAGAGGAGGAAAUAAUAAGGUGCUGACUCUCAAAGAUAAAAUCAUGGCAAAUCCUUGAAGCUAAAGAAGAAUGAAAAGAGCAUAUAAAAUUAUAAUUUCAUAUUAUAAUUUUAUAAUUGUAUAANNNNNNNNAGCAGUCAAAUGUCUGUCUCAGAUAAUGGACAUAGGGAUAUCCCUUAAUGUGCCCAGACUCCAUCCUACUUAUCUAAGAUUUAUAGAUUAAGUUUUAUAAUUAUUGCUUGUUGUACAAUAAUACUUGGUUCUCAUAAAUUCAGUUUUCAAAGGCUAACUCACAUAGGAUGAUUAUAUAUUCGUUUAAUAAUAAAGGAAACAUGAAUUAUUAUAAAAGCAUUUAUCUAUAAAGAUUAAAUUUACAGGAACACUGGA